UACAUAGGGUGCUAGCGUUGCUCGGAAUAACUGGGCGUAAAGCACAUGUAGGAGGGCUAAUAAGUUAAAAGUGCAAGCCCUGAGCUAAACUUGGGAACUGCUUUUAAUACUAUUUGUCUGGAGGAAGAUAGAGGGUAGCGGAAUUCUUAGUGGAGGGGUUAAAUCCGUAGAUAUUAAGAGGAACACCGAAAGCGAAAGCAGCUACUUAGGUCUUUCCUGACUCUGAGAUGUGAAAGCGUGGGGAGCGAAC
This 250-nucleotide ribosomal RNA is filed under the name uncultured prokaryote. RNAcentral's name for it is "partial 16S ribosomal RNA". It matches the Rfam family "Bacterial small subunit ribosomal RNA", at positions 524 to 773 of the family's 1533-position model. The record is from RNAcentral.